ACUAAAAUAUUGGCUUUGGCAUAUACUAAAAGUAGAAUGAUACAGAGUAGAUUAGCAUGGCCUCUGUAUAAAGAUGACACACAAAUUUGUGAAGCAUUUCAUAUUUUU
Small nuclear RNA from Sarcophilus harrisii (Tasmanian devil), 108 nucleotides. The record is from Ensembl. Lineage: Eukaryota; Metazoa; Chordata; Mammalia; Dasyuromorphia; Dasyuridae.